AUACUUACCUGGUACGGGAGGUGACCGUUCUCAGCAUCGGUUCUCCCAGGGUGAGGCCUUUCUAUUGCACCUUGGCUUGGCUGACCCCUGCGAUCACCGCCAAAUAGGGGUGACUCGUGUACGUAAUUUAUAAGUGGAGGGGUGUGCGUCCGCGCUAACCCCUG
This 164-nucleotide small nuclear RNA is filed under the name Haliotis rubra (blacklip abalone). RNAcentral describes it as "U1 spliceosomal RNA". It matches the Rfam family "U1 spliceosomal RNA". From Rfam's summary of the family: U1 is a small nuclear RNA (snRNA) component of the spliceosome (involved in pre-mRNA splicing). Its 5' end forms complementary base pairs with the 5' splice junction, thus defining the 5' donor site of an intron. There are significant differences in sequence and secondary structure between metazoan and yeast U1 snRNAs, the latter being much longer (568 nucleotides as compared to 164 nucleotides in human). Lineage: Eukaryota; Metazoa; Mollusca; Gastropoda; Lepetellida; Haliotidae. The record is from RNAcentral.